CGGACGGGUGAGUAACACGUGGAUAACCUACCUAUAAGACUGGGAUAACUUCGGGAAACCGGAGCUAAAACCGGAUAAUAUUUUGAACCGCAUGGUUCAAAAGUGAAAGACGGUCUUGCUGUCACUUAUAGAUGGAUCCGCGCUGCAUUAGCUAGUUGGUAAGGUAACGGCUUACCAAGGCAACGAUGCAUAGCCGACCUGAGAGGGUGAUCGGCCACACUGGAACUGAGACACGGUCCAG
Molecule: ribosomal RNA, 241 nt
Filed under: uncultured Staphylococcus sp.
Lineage: Bacteria; Bacillati; Bacillota; Bacilli; Caryophanales; Staphylococcaceae
Description: partial 16S ribosomal RNA
Rfam family: Bacterial small subunit ribosomal RNA
Source: RNAcentral